CUAGACUCAAUAAGGAAUCUGUACAUAUAAAGCAUGACUUUAAUUAUCUUUGUAAAAUUUAUGGUGAAUUUCCAAAGUCAGAACAGGGGAUCCAGAAAUCGCUCUGGCCCUAUUUCACAAAAAUUUAAACAUCUCAUAAAACAUAGCUCAUAUACCUGUUUCGCUUCUUCCAUAUGAAAAUAAACUCAUCAAGAUUCGAUUCCAUAACUUAUUCAUUAUUUAAUUCCAUUUCUACUAUUUUUAGUGAUUUUUCAAAUUCACAUCACU
RNAcentral lists this long non-coding RNA (267 nucleotides) under Gossypium barbadense (sea-island cotton). RNAcentral describes it as "long non-coding RNA (GBAR_LNC011238)". Lineage: Eukaryota; Viridiplantae; Streptophyta; Magnoliopsida; Malvales; Malvaceae. The record is from RNAcentral.